CCCACGAGACAGUGCUGGCAUCAGACAAUGCGCUUAAUUGUUGCCGUGAUUCUUCACCCGCUUACCGCUGGCCAAAUCUGCUAUCAGCUUUAAUGUGUAGCACAUUCGAAAGACCGCGGCGAUGUGCCGAGGCUCUCCAACAUACGUGGAGCCCACUGACGAAGAAGCUCGGGGCAGCUGUCAGUUUCCAACACAAUUGUGCAUGGGCAGUGCGCCGUGGACAUCUAUAGGUGCAUGGUGGCUGCCUGGCAACGCGAUGAAUGAUACACAGGGUACUAGAAAAAGACGCUGAUUUUGGCAAUAAUGCUCCGGCCCUCCAAGACAUUUGCUCAUGACCAAGUUAAAGCAUCAGCACCCGUGUCGGCUCGAGUGGGGGCGGGUAGGAUAUUUAGAGAAAUGGACAUGUUGUGAGCUGCGCGUGCGCAGGAUAGAUCUGUCCGCUGCCGAAGAUGCUGAACACGCAGAAUAGAAGACUGACUCCACCGCUGACAUCAUUUCCAUUUUCGCCCUCCUGGACCCACCCUUCUCGGCCGAGUCACCAUAUAAUCCUGGAACCAGCCAUUUUGCUCCAAUUCUGAGUUCCUAUGUGAAAAGAUAAACUCCAGAACAUGUUGUGUUCUAUAUUAUUGUGAACUUUUUCAGUUAUAUGGGAUCACCAAGGUAGUGCCCCAACUCUUUAACAUCAUCAUUGUGUCCUCUUUUACAAAGGAUAUUGUCAAAAUGAUUUGUAGGCUGAAGUUUAGUAAUUCUCAGUCCUUCACUUUUACUUUUUAAUAUCCUUCCAAAUAUUUUUUAUUUGGAUAGUUCAUGAUGAAU
Polypterus senegalus (gray bichir) is the source of this 816-nucleotide long non-coding RNA. RefSeq lists it as uncharacterized. The transcript has 3 exons. The record is from RefSeq and is a predicted model, not a curated record. NCBI's taxonomy places the organism in Eukaryota, Metazoa, Chordata, Cladistia, Polypteriformes, Polypteridae.